UACGGAGGAUCCGAGCGUUAUCCGGAUUUAUUGGGUUUAAAGGGUGCGCAGGCGGGAUGUUAAGUCGGCGGUGAAAUUUUGCAGCUCAACUGUAAAAGUGCCUUCGAUACUGGCUUUCUUGAGUGUGGAUGAAGUAGGCGGAUUUGUGGUGUAGCGGUGGAAUGCUUAGAUAUCACGAGGAACUCCGAUUGCGCAGGCAGCUUACUAAACCACUACUGACGCUCAUGCACGAAGGCGUGGGGAUCAAACAGGAUUAGAUA
This 260-nucleotide ribosomal RNA is filed under the name uncultured prokaryote. RNAcentral's name for it is "partial 16S ribosomal RNA". It matches the Rfam family "Bacterial small subunit ribosomal RNA", at positions 524 to 784 of the family's 1533-position model. The record is from RNAcentral.